ACCUGUUGUAUUCAGCAUUUCACUGUCAGGUCUACUACACCUGUUGUAUUCAGCAUUUCACUGUGAGGUCUACUACACCUGUUGUAUUCAGCAUUUCACUGUGAGGUCUACUACACCUGUUGUAUUCAGCAUUUCACUGUGAGGUCUACUACACCUGUAGUAUUCAGCAUUUCACUGUAAGGUCUACUACACCUGUUGUAUUCAGCAUUUCACUGUAAGGUCUACGACACCUGUUGUAUUCAGCAUUUCACUGUGAGGUCUACUACACCUGUAGUAUUCAGCAUUUCACUGUGAGGUCUACUACACCUGUUGUAUUCAGCAUUUCACUGUAAGGUCUACUACACCUGUUGUAUUCAGCAUUUCACUGUAAGGUCUACUACACCUGUUGUAUUCAGCAUUUCACUGUGAGGUCUACUACACCUGUUGUAUUCAGCAUUUCACUGUAAGGUCUACUACACCUGUUGUAUUCAGCAUUUCACUGUCAGGUCUACUACACCUGUUGUAUUCAGCAUUUCACUGUGAGGUCUACUACACCUGUUGUAUUCAGCAUUUCACUGUGAGGUCUACUACACCUGUAGUAUUCAGCAUUUCACUGUAAGGUCUACUACACCUGUUGUAUUCAGCAUUUCACUGUAAGGUCUACUACACCUGUUGUAUUCAGCAUUUCACUGUAAGGUCUACUACACCUGUUGUAUUCAGCAUUUCACUGUGAGGUCUACUACACCUGUUGUAUUCAGCAUUUCACUGUGAGGUCUACUACACCUGUUGUAUUCAGUAUUUCACUGUGAGGUCUACUACACCUGUUUUAUUCAGCAUUUCACUGUAAGGUCUACUACACCUGUUGUAUUCAGCAUUUCACUGUCAGGUCUACUACACCUGUUGUAUUCAGCAUUUCACUGUGAGGUCUACUACACCUGUUGUAUUCAGCAUUUCACUGUGAGGUCUACUACACCUGUUGUAUUCAGCAUUUCACUGUGAGGUCUACUACACCUGUUGUAUUCAGCAUUUCACUGUAAGGUCUACUACACCUGUUGUAUUCAGCAUUUCACUGUAAGGUCUACUACACCUGUUGUAUUCAGCAUUUCACUGUGAGGUCUACUACACCUGUUGUAUUCAGUAUUUCACUGUGAGGUCUACUACACCUGUUUUAUUCAGCAUUUCACUGUAAGGUCUACUACACCUGUUGUAUUCAGCAUUUCACUGUCAGGUCUACUACACCUGUUGUAUUCAGCAUUUCACUGUGAGGUCUACUACACCUGUUGUAUUCAGCAUUUCACUGUGAGGUCUACUACACCUGUUGUAUUCAGCAUUUCACUGUGAGGUCUACUACACCUGUAGUAUUCAGCAUUUCACUGUAAGGUCUACUACACCUGUUGUAUUCAGCAUUUCACUGUAAGGUCUACUACACCUGUUGUAUUCAGCAUUUCACUGUGAGGUCUACUACACCUGUUGUAUUCAGCAUUUCACUGUGAGGUCUACUACACCUGUAGUAUUCAGCAUUUCACUGUAAGGUCUACUACACCUGUUGUAUUCAGCAUUUCACUGUAAGGUCUACUACACCUGUUGUAUUCAGCAUUUCACUGUAAGGUCUACUACACCUGUUGUAUUCAUCAUUUCACUGUGAGGUCUACUACACCUGUUGUAUUCAGCAUUUCACUGUAAGGUCUACUACACCUGUUGUAUUCAGCAUUUCACUGUGAGGUCUACUACACCUGUUGUAUUCAGCAUUUCACUGUAAGGUCUACUACACCUGUUGUAUUCAGCAUUUCACUGUGAGGUCUACUACACCUGUAGUAUUCAGCAUUUCACUGUAAGGUCUACUACACCUGUUGUAUUCAGCAUUUCACUGUAAGGUCUACUACACCUGUUGUAUUCAGCAUUUCACUGUCAGGUCUACUACACCUGUUGUAUUCAGCAUUUCACUGUGAGGUCUACUACACCUGUUGUAUUCAGCAUUUCACUGUGAGGUCUACUACACCUGUUGUAUUCAGCAUUUCACUGUGAGGUCUACUACACCUGUAGUAUUCAGCAUUUCACUGUAAGGUCUACUACACCUGUUGUAUUCAGCAUUUCACUGUAAGGUCUACUACACCUGUUGUAUUCAGCAUUUCACUGUCAGGUCUACUACACCUGUUGUAUUCAGCAUUUCACUGUGAGGUCUACUACACCUGUUGUAUUCAGCAGUUCACUGUAAGGUCUACUACACCUGUUGUAUUCAGCAUUUCACUGUGAGGUCUACUACACCUGUUGUAUUCAGCAUUUCACUGUAAGGUCUACUACACCUGUUGUAUUCAGCAUUUCACUGUAAGGUCUACUACACCUGUUGUAUUCAGCAUUUCACUGUGAGGUCUACUACACCUGUUGUAUUCAGCAUUUCACUGUGAGGUCUACUACACCUGUUGUAUUCAGCAUUUCACUGUAAGGUCUACUACACCUGUUGUAUUCAGCAUUUCACUGUAAGGUCUACUACACCUGUUGUAUUCAGCAUUUCACUGUCAGGUCUACUACACCUGUUGUAUUCAGCAUUUCACUGUGAGGUCUACUACACCUGUUGUAUUCAGCAGUUCACUGUAAGGUCUACUACACCUGUUGUAUUCAG
This is a long non-coding RNA of Oncorhynchus keta (chum salmon), 2599 nucleotides long. RefSeq lists it as uncharacterized. The record is from RefSeq and is a predicted model, not a curated record. Lineage: Eukaryota; Metazoa; Chordata; Actinopteri; Salmoniformes; Salmonidae. The transcript is spliced from 3 exons.